AUCUUCACCGUUCUGACAGGUCUGCCGGUUGCUUUGCUUUGCAACUUUGGUAGAAGCGCGGCGUGGGUGCGGCUGACAGCUCUACGCACGCGCGAUGCCGGUCCACGUCCAGCCCACCGCAAGCCACGCCCACAGCGCAGGCCACGCCCACCUGGGCGGCUGGCUGAGCUGCGGCUAAGAACCGGUCGCUGCUGGUGCUUGUGGGCGGAAGAACACACACCGGAUUCUGAAAUAGUUGUAAACAGUGUCUACCCUCCCCGAGAAAUCACAUCCACAUUAGACCCAAAUAAGCGGCAAGAUCCUGUGCUUCAACCUCGUUUCUCAGAAUAAGCGAUUUUUCUCCAUCGGGGUUUCUCAAGCACGGGUGAUGGUGGAGAUUUGGACUGGGGUGGAUGUCCUUCCAGAAUGUCCUUCACUUUCUCUAUUUUGGCUGUUUCUGCAUAUUGAGCUCCCAGGCCCAUUCCAGUGUGGUUCUCUACAGUACUGCUCCAGAC
Long non-coding RNA from Mastomys coucha (southern multimammate mouse), 494 nucleotides. RefSeq lists it as uncharacterized. NCBI's taxonomy places the organism in Eukaryota, Metazoa, Chordata, Mammalia, Rodentia, Muridae. The record is from RefSeq and is a predicted model, not a curated record. The transcript is spliced from 3 exons.